GCGCUGGGGUGGCGGCAUGUUGCUGCGGUGGGUGCUUAUGUUGCCCAUGUGGGCUCUGCAUCUUUUGGUGCUGCCAGAUCAUCGCU
RNAcentral lists this transfer RNA (86 nucleotides) under Acetobacter indonesiensis. Its description in RNAcentral is "tRNA-Ile". Lineage: Bacteria; Pseudomonadati; Pseudomonadota; Alphaproteobacteria; Acetobacterales; Acetobacteraceae. The record is from RNAcentral.